UUUUUUAAUAACCAUGAUGGACAGGCCAGCUUAUGCACAUAUCAAGCUCUCAACUAAUUCUACAAGUUACCUGCAAAGAUCCGUUCCAGUAGGCAUUUUGAGUUGUCAUGACAUAGAAUCAUUAUACUAUGUUACAUACUCUCAGUAAAUCAAGGUUUUAGACAUCACACUGGAAGUAAAGGUUUUAUAAAGUCAUGACACAAUGAAAAAAGUCAUCCAAUCAGGUAAAUUAUGCAAGAAGAAAUCAGUAAAUGGCACCCCAAAUUAUUGUUUACUUUACCAUUGAGGCAAUCUUUUUAAAGACGAAAUCAAUUCGCAUUUAGCAUCGCCUCUUUAACUCCUAGGCUUAUAUACCGAAACAGCCUAAAAAAGAGUUUAUCCUGAAGACUUUAAAAGGUAACAAACCACAGCUUCAAGUGAACCAACUCCAAAACGUUUUAGUAUAAUAAAGUUAGCAGCAACAUAAUAAAUAUUUGCACUUUUAAAUUAUUCUGUCAACGCUGUUUUCAAUUGGAGUAAAGGAAUGAAUUAUACAGAAUACAAAUACUUUAUUUUCUUUCUUUUCCUUUGAAAAUACAGAUGCUUUCCUUGGCAGCUAGCAAGAAAUUAGAUGUAGCGAAAUUAAAUCCUAGAAACCGAUCAACAAAGGUGCUAUGUUGUCGUUGAACAAUUUUAAAGUCAAUAAACAUUAAGCAUGUACUAUUAAGAAUGAGAAUCUAUGGAGUACAAGAAAACACCUUUUAAAUAUCAAACAAGCUUCAGUUUAUACUGUGUUUUGCCUACUCUAGCUCAUGUCUAAAAUAUUCAAACCAUAGGCAUGCUAAAUGACCAACUUGUGUUUUAAAGGCUGGACUUGUCGUAGAAAGUAGCAACAUCAUUUUGCUUUCUUAUUCUACUCUUCUUUUCUUGUAUCAUCUACUGGAUCUAAAGGAGUACUGGUUAGUCACUCUUCAUCCAUUUCUAAUAACCCAUUCUUAGUAAAAUGCUUAGCAAUACCUUGUCUCGGGACAACUUUGGUUGAGUUCCUUGUUGCGGAAGCCAAAUGUAUAUAGUGUGAAUAAGUCACAACUACUAUACCAAAAUUAUGACAGCCACCAAAUAAUAAAUAAGACAAUAAAGCAACAAUAAAGGGAACACCAG
This 1140-nucleotide long non-coding RNA is filed under the name Nicotiana tabacum (common tobacco). RNAcentral describes it as "long non-coding RNA (NTAB_LNC012399)". The record is from RNAcentral. Lineage: Eukaryota; Viridiplantae; Streptophyta; Magnoliopsida; Solanales; Solanaceae.